GGAAGAGUUUGAUCCUGGCUCAGAUUGAACGCUGGCGGAAUGCUUUACACAUGCAAGUCGAGCGGCAGCGCGGGGCAACCUGGCGGCGAGCGGCGAACGGGUGAGUAAUGCAUCGGAACAUGUCCAUGUCGUGGGGGAUAGCCCGGCGAAAGCCGGAUUAAUACCGCAUACGCCCGAGAGGGGAAAGCAGGGGACCGCAAGGCCUUGCGCGAUUGGGUUGGCCGAUGUCCGAUUAGCUUGUUGGUGAGGUAAAGGCUUACCAAGGCGAUGAUCGGUAGCUGGUCUGAGAGGAUGAUCAGCCACACUGGGACUGAGACACGGCCCAGACUCCUACGGGAGGCAGCAGUGGGGAAUUUUGGACAAUGGGGGCAACCCUGAUCCAGCCAUUCCGCGUGAGUGAAGAAGGCCUUCGGGUUGUAAACCACUGUCAGAGGGGAUGAAAUGCAUGGGAGCUAUCUCCUGUGUUUGACAUAGCCUCAGAGGAAGCACGGGCUAAGUUCGUGCCAGCAGCCGCGGUAA
This 519-nucleotide ribosomal RNA is filed under the name uncultured bacterium. Its description in RNAcentral is "bacterial SSU rRNA". It matches the Rfam family "Bacterial small subunit ribosomal RNA", at positions 1 to 523 of the family's 1533-position model. The record is from RNAcentral.